CGUCACUGGGGCGGUAGGGUGCUUGCAGCUGGGCAGUUUUCUCCUCAGCGUGUAGCCUGGUAACCACGACCUCUCCGCCAGGUCCUGUGUGUUGCUGGCUGGAGAAGGGUAGUUGAAAACUCAGACCAAGCACAGUGUUUAUUUUGGUCAAAACUAGAAGACUAUGUCCAGGCGCGGCCGAGGCUGGAGGACCCCUUCAGGCCAAGAGCAACCUAGCAAUAUGGCGCGACCGGAUCUCUGUAGUCCUACCUCAGCCCCCCAGCUAAUUGAACCCCAAAGUUCGAGGCUCCAAUGAGCUAUGAUCCCACCACAGCAUUGCAGCCUGCCAGACUGAGACAUGAACUUAUGAAUUCAACACAUGAAGACUUACAACUUGAUAAACCAGCUUUAGGAGAUUGUGAAAACUUGUAUUCCUGUGAUUUCGAUAGCGAAGGAAGUAUGGUAUACCAGAAUCACUAAAUUAUGAAAGAUGGU
Molecule: long non-coding RNA, 474 nt
Organism: Nomascus leucogenys (northern white-cheeked gibbon)
Lineage: Eukaryota; Metazoa; Chordata; Mammalia; Primates; Hylobatidae
Exons: 3
Source: RefSeq, a predicted model, not a curated record